This 357-nucleotide transfer-messenger RNA is filed under the name Candidatus Hydrogenedentota bacterium. RNAcentral describes it as "Candidatus Hydrogenedentes bacterium transfer-messenger RNA". It matches the Rfam family "transfer-messenger RNA". Rfam says of the family: Bacterial tmRNA, also known as 10Sa RNA or SsrA, is named for its dual tRNA and mRNA-like properties. Its role is to liberate the mRNA from a stalled ribosome. The record is from RNAcentral. Lineage: Bacteria; Pseudomonadati; Candidatus Hydrogenedentota.
GGGGGCGAAUGGAUUCGACGGGGAUAGAAGAAAUACUGGGAGCGUGCCGAGGUGCCAUCAACCUCGUAAAACAGGUGGCAAACAAACAAAUGCCAACACUGAUUUGGCACUGGCCGCCUAAAUAAGGGCGACCCGUCCGCUCCGGUUGAGCCUGCAGGGCCGGAAUCCGGGCGUCGAUUACUGAAGGCUGGCCCGCUGACCUGCUCCUGGAAGGCGGGCGAGAAACUCUGGAGCUAGUCUCAUGAUACCUUUGCCAGUCGAGGUAUCAUGGGGCGAAGCUGAUUCGACAGGCUACGCACGUAGAAUCCGGUAUGGAAGUAUCUGCGGACGCGGGUUCGAUUCCCGCCGCCUCCACCA